RNAcentral lists this ribosomal RNA (266 nucleotides) under uncultured bacterium. Its description in RNAcentral is "partial 16S ribosomal RNA". It matches the Rfam family "Bacterial small subunit ribosomal RNA", at positions 88 to 354 of the family's 1533-position model. The record is from RNAcentral.
CCGGCGACCGGCGCACGGGUGAGUAACACGUAUGGAACCUGCCCGCAGCAGGGGGAUAAGCGGAAGAAAUUCCGUCUAAUACCGCGUAACAACGUUGGGAGGCAUCUCCCGAUGUUUAAAGAUUUAUCGGCUGCGGAUGGCCAUGCGGCGCAUCAGCUAGUCGGCGGGGUAACGGCCCACCGAGGCGACGAUGCGUAGGGGUUCUGAGAGGAAGGUCCCCCACACUGGUACUGAGACACGGACCAGACUCCUACGGGAGGCAGCAG